AUUCUUUCUUCUUCAACCGUGGAAAGAACAGAAAAUAGCAGCCAUGGAUGAGCUCCAUUCGGCCAAGCUUUUAUGGCUUAUAUAGAUGAUGAAAAUUGAGACUUGGACCUAGAACGGAAAGAAAUCGAUUUAUGGACGAGUAUGUCCUUUUCACAUUUGUGGUAUCGAGAGUUUCCAGGUUAGCUCGGGUUGGAGGCCGUCGGAGAUAUUAUCACCCUAUCGAGUUAACGUUAUCG
Long non-coding RNA from Gossypium arboreum, 236 nucleotides. RefSeq lists it as uncharacterized. The record is from RefSeq and is a predicted model, not a curated record. The transcript has 3 exons. NCBI's taxonomy places the organism in Eukaryota, Viridiplantae, Streptophyta, Magnoliopsida, Malvales, Malvaceae.